AAUAGAUACCCUGGUAGUCCACGCCGUAAACGAUGAGUGCUAAGUGUUAGAGGGUUUCCGCCCUUUAGUGCUGCAGCUAACGCAUUAAGCACUCCGCCUGGGGAGUACGGCCGCAAGGCUGAAACUCAAAGGAAUUGACGGGGGCCCGCACAAGCGGUGGAGCAUGUGGUUUAAUUCGAAGCAACGCGAAGAACCUUACCAGGUCUUGACAUCCUCUGACAACCCUAGAGAUAGGGCUUUCCCCUUCGGGGGACAGAGUGACAGGUGGUGCAUGGUUGUCGUCAGCUCGUGUCGUGAGAUGUUGGGUUAAGUCCCGCAACGAGCGCAACCCUUGAUCUUAGUUGCCAGCAUUCAGUUGGGCACUCUAAGGUGACUGCCGGUGACAAACCGGAGGAAGGUGGGGAUGACGUCAAAUCAUCAUGCCCCUUAUGACCUGGGCUACACACGUGCUACAAUGGAUGGUACAAAGGGCUGCAAACCUGCGAAGGUAAGCGAAUCCAUAAAGCCAUUCUCAGUUCGGAUUGCAGG
Molecule: ribosomal RNA, 528 nt
Filed under: uncultured bacterium
Lineage: Bacteria
Description: bacterial SSU rRNA
Rfam family: Bacterial small subunit ribosomal RNA
Source: RNAcentral